CCGGAGUCCCUGAUUUCACACUGCCAAGAAAAGCCUCUAGCGAGGCGGGAGGUGCCCGUACCGCAAACCGACACAGGUAGGCGAGAAGAGAAUUCUAAGGUGAGCGAGUGAACUCUCGUUAAGGAACUCGGCAAAAUGACCCCGUAACUUCGGGAGAAGGGGUGCUCUGGUAGGGUGAAUAGCCCGAGAGAGCCGCAGUGAAUAGGCCCAGGCGACUGUUUAGCAAAAACACAGGUCUCUGCAAAACCGUAAGGUGACGUAUAGGGGCUGACGCCUGCCCGGUGCUGGAAGGUUAAGGGGAGUGCUUAGCGCAAGCGAAGGUGCGAACCGAAGCCCCAGUAAACGGCGGCCGUAACUAUAACGGUCCUAAGGUAGCGAAAUUCCUUGUCGGGUAAGUUCCGACCCGCACGAAAGGCGUAACGAUCUGGGCACUGUCUCAACGAGAGACUCGGUGAAAUUAUAGUAC
Molecule: ribosomal RNA, 466 nt
Filed under: Planococcus salinus
Lineage: Bacteria; Bacillati; Bacillota; Bacilli; Caryophanales; Caryophanaceae
Description: bacterial LSU rRNA
Rfam family: Bacterial large subunit ribosomal RNA
Source: RNAcentral